RNAcentral lists this ribosomal RNA (254 nucleotides) under uncultured bacterium. Its description in RNAcentral is "partial 16S ribosomal RNA". It matches the Rfam family "Bacterial small subunit ribosomal RNA", at positions 524 to 776 of the family's 1533-position model. The record is from RNAcentral.
GACAGAGGUGGCUAGCGUUGUUCGGAUUCAUUGGGUGUAAAGGGUGCGUAGGCGGUUUGGAAAGUCAAAUGUGAAAGCCCACAGCUCAACUGUGGAACUGCACUUGAAACUUCCGAACUCGAGUGCGAGAGAGGUGAAGGGAAUUCCCGGUGUAAGGGUGAAAUCUGCAGAGAUCGGGAGGAACACCAGUAGCGAAGGCGCUUCACUGGCUCGUAACUGACGCUGAGUGCACGAAGGCGUGGGGAGCAAACGGG